UACCAGCUCUCCGAGUUGUAGGGAUGAUUAUUGGGCUUAAAGCGUCCGUAGCUGGCUUAGCAAGUCUCCUGUUAAAUUCAGCGACCUAAUGGUUGAGCCGCGGGAGAUACUACUAGGCUAGGAGGCGGGAGAGGUCGACGGUACUUUCGGGGUAGGGGUGAAAUCCUAUAAUCCCGGGAGGACCACCAGUGGCGAAGGCUGUCGACUAGAACGCGCUCGACGGUGAGGGACGAAAGCUGGGGGAGCGAACCGGAUUAGAUACCCGGGUAGUCCCAGCUGUAAACUAUGCGGGCUAGGUGUUGGGGUGGCUACGGGCCACUUCAGUGCCGCAGGAAAGCCAUUAAGCCCGCCGCCUGGGGAGUACGGCCGCAAGGCUGAAACUUAAAGGAAUUGGCGGGGGAGCACCACAAGGCGUGAAGCUUGCGGUUC
RNAcentral lists this ribosomal RNA (429 nucleotides) under uncultured archaeon. Its description in RNAcentral is "bacterial SSU rRNA". It matches the Rfam family "Archaeal small subunit ribosomal RNA", at positions 474 to 903 of the family's 1478-position model. The record is from RNAcentral.